CAAUCGGCCCUUUUCAGGGCCACCAACGUCAUCUGACAAGGAACAU
Molecule: non-coding RNA, 46 nt
Organism: Nasonia vitripennis (jewel wasp)
Lineage: Eukaryota; Metazoa; Arthropoda; Insecta; Hymenoptera; Pteromalidae
Source: Rfam